UCCUGGGUGGCUCAGUUGGUUAAGCACCUGACUUUGGCUCAGGUCAUGAUCUCACAGUCCGUGGGUUCGAGCCCCAUGUCAGGCU
RNAcentral lists this transfer RNA (85 nucleotides) under Felis catus (domestic cat). It matches the Rfam family "tRNA". From Rfam's summary of the family: Transfer RNA (tRNA) molecules are approximately 80 nucleotides in length. Their secondary structure includes four short double-helical elements and three loops (D, anti-codon, and T loops). Lineage: Eukaryota; Metazoa; Chordata; Mammalia; Carnivora; Felidae. The record is from Rfam by way of RNAcentral.